GAUUUCUGGCUUGACAUGCUUGGCCCGCCUAGGUUACUAGGUGUGUGCCGAGACGUGUCUGCCAUCCUUCUAGAAAAUGCUGUUACUCUUCACUGAGCCGACAGCACUAUCUAGAUCUUUUACUUUGAAAAAAUUAGAGUGUUUAAAGCAGGCUUUUGCUAUGAAUACAUUAGCAUGGAAUAAUAAUCUAGGACUUCGGUUCUAUUUUGUUGGUUUCUAUAACUGAAGUAAUGAUUGAUAGGGAUAGUUGGGGGUGCUAGUAUUGGCCGGCCAGAGGUGAAAUUCUUGGAUUCGGUCAAGACUAACUUAUGCGAAAGCAUU
RNAcentral lists this ribosomal RNA (321 nucleotides) under Protaspa sp. Its description in RNAcentral is "SSU rRNA". The stretch from base 65 to 321 matches the Rfam family "Eukaryotic small subunit ribosomal RNA", at positions 697 to 955 of the family's 1831-position model. The record is from RNAcentral. Lineage: Eukaryota; Cercozoa; Thecofilosea; Cryomonadida; Protaspidae.